UACGUAGGGUGCAAGCGUUAUCCGGAAUGAUUGGGCGUAAAGCGUCCGCAGGUGGCUAUGUAAGUCUGCUGUUAAAGAGUGAGGCUCAACCUCAUAAGAGCAGUGGAAACUACAUGGCUAGAGUGCGUUCGGGGCAGAGGGAAUUCCUGGUGUAGCGGUGAAAUGCGUAGAGAUCAGGAAGAACACCGGUGGCGAAAGCGUUCUGCUAGACCUGUACUGACACUGAGGGACGAAAGCUAGGGGAGCGAAUGGG
Molecule: ribosomal RNA, 253 nt
Filed under: uncultured bacterium
Lineage: Bacteria
Description: partial 16S ribosomal RNA
Rfam family: Bacterial small subunit ribosomal RNA
Source: RNAcentral